GAAAGGAGGAAUCCGGUGGCGGCUGGGCAUGCGGCGCAUUAGCUUGACGGCGGGGUAACGGCCCACCGUGGCGACGAUGCGUAGGGGUUCUGAGAGGAAGGCCCCCCACACUGGAACUGAGACACGGUCCAGACUCCUACGGGAGGCAGCAGUGAGGAAUAUUGGUCAAUGGGCGGAAGCCUGAACCAGCCAAGUCGCGUGAGGGAAUAAGGCCCUACGGGUCGUAAACCUCUUUUGCCGGGGAGCAAGGGCCGGGACGCGUCCCGGCCCGGAGAGUACCCGGAGAAAAAGCAUCGGCUAACUCCGUGCCAGCAGCCGCGGUAAUACGGAGGAUGCGAGCGUUAUCCGGAUUUAUUGGGUUUAAAGGGUGCGUAGGCGGGCUUUUAAGUCAGCGGUAAAAAUUCGGGGCUCAACCCCGUCCGGCCGUUGAAACUGGGGGCCUUGAGUGGGCGAGAAGAAGGCGGAAUGCGUGGUGUAGCGGUGAAAUGCAUAGAUAUCACGCAGAACCCCGAUUGCGAAGGCAGCCUUCCGGCGCCCUACUGACGCUGAGGCACGAAAGUGCGGGGAUCGAACAGGAUUAGAUACCCUGGUAGUCCGCACAGUAAACGAUGGAUGCCAGCUGUCCGGGCCGAAUGGGGCCUGG
Molecule: ribosomal RNA, 643 nt
Filed under: uncultured bacterium
Lineage: Bacteria
Description: bacterial SSU rRNA
Rfam family: Bacterial small subunit ribosomal RNA
Source: RNAcentral